This 2079-nucleotide long non-coding RNA is filed under the name Homo sapiens (human). RNAcentral describes it as "novel transcript, sense intronic to CDH20". Lineage: Eukaryota; Metazoa; Chordata; Mammalia; Primates; Hominidae. The record is from RNAcentral.
UUUUUUUUUUUUUUUUCAACAAAUAUUUUUUGAGUGACCUCCGUGGGCCGGGCUAUGGAGUAACUAUACUGUGACCUAACACACUUUGCUUCCCUGCAAAUUGUUCAAUAUACUUGCUGAAAUUCAGCUCUACUUCAUGCGUGGUACCCACAGUCUACCAAAUUAGUAACCUAAACACUAGAAUAGGAAUUGAUAUUAGUUUUCAUUUCCUGAUUUGUUUAUUCUUUCAAAAAAAUUUUUGAGUGGUUUCCAGGGGAGAGGUGCUGUGCCUGGGGCUGGAACUGCAGUGGUACACAGGACAGAAUGAGGCCUCCUUUUCAGCUUGAACUCUUGCAAGGAAUUGCAAUGCUCAGGCUGACUCCUACUCAUCACCACAUUCCUUGCUGAUCCUGCAAAAACUCCUAUUAAACAAUCUGGCUGGGCGCGGUGGCUCACUCCUGUAAUCCCAGCACUUUGGAGGCUGAGGUGGGUGGAUCGCCUGAGAUCAGGAGUUCGAGGCUAGCCUGGCCAACAUGGCAAAACCCUGUCUCUACUAAAAAUACAAAAACUAGCUGGGCGUGUGGCGUGCCUGUAAUCCCAGCUACUUGGGAGGCUGAGGCAGGAGAACUGCUUGAACCUGGGAGGCAGAGGUUGCAGGGAGCUGAGAUUGCACCACUGCACUCCAGUCUGGGUGACAGAGCGAUACUGUCUCCAAAAAAAUAAUAAUAAUACAUACUAAAAUUUGCCAGCUAUAAAGAACAAAGGGAGAGGGUCAUGACCUUGCUCUUUCCAAACUUAAAUAGCUAACGAUUAAACUUGACAUUAUUUGAUCAACAGAGUGGUAAAAUUAAUGAAAUGGUGUCUAAAAUAAUGUUCGAGAAAUUUUUUGUAAAUAAAUGAAGCAGAGAAGUAAAACAAAGGGAUAGCAAAAAUAUUGCAGCUAAUACAGAACAUUAAAAACUAGUGUAAUCUAAUCCAUGGGCCAUGAAGAUAAAUUUCACUUAAUGAAAUUCAUAAUAUUCUCUCUUAUUAUCUUUUCAAAUUUACUGUUAUCACCAGAGGCAUAACUCCUACUUUAUAUUCCAAAAAAGAAGUCCCAGAUCUAAAUCUCUGAGUCUCUGGCAAUCGGGCUUAAAUGUUUCACUAUCUAAUCAUGUCAUUUAUAAUUAUAAAGUGUACAGCUCUAUUCCUGGAUUUGUGGGUCUCUUACAAAUAUAAACUAUCACCUGGUGUUCAAUUGAUCAGUAGAGUUACUAUAGUUAACACGAAUCAAUUAUACAUCUCAAAGUAGCCAGAAGAUAAUAUUUUGAAUGUCUAUAGCAUAAAAAAGAAUAUUUGGGGUGGUAGAUAUAUAUACCAAUUAACCUGACCUGAUUAUAUGAAUGUAUCAAAUUAUCACAUGUACCUCAAAAAUAUGUAUACCUAAUAUGUAUCAAUAAUAAACCAGAUGGAUAGAUAGAUAGAUAAUCAUGAGUCUUGCUUUUCCAGAGGGGCACAUAACAUAGAAUUAAUUCCAAUUCCACUGGAAAAAUUUUAUUUGGUCUGAUUAGUGUCAAUGAGGGGGGAAAAUUCAGUAGUUUUCAUCUAAAUAGUCACAAAUUCCAUUUUCAAUAACGCUCAUAUCAUACAAUGAACUAAUUUUUCAAGCAACUUUUCAAAAAUCUAUACAUUACCAUGCUUACUGUACUUACUAUCUAAAAUAACAAAAGAAGCAUACUGAUUUGGGAUUAAUAUGGCUUCUAGUCCAUGCAUUCAGGGACCUUAAUGAGGAUGGUAAUAUUUUAAAAAAUACAUGAAAUUCACGGUUCUUUAGCUCCAUGGGACAGAAAAGUGAUUUCCUACACAAGCUUAAAGACAUAAUUAAACAUAUAUUUCAUUUCUCUUUCAAGAAUAUUCUUCUGAGCUUAUCGAAUACAGCUGCAGGGAAAGCAACUGGCAGUUUCCAGGCAAAAGGAAAACUAUCAGUUCUUUAUAAGCUGCUUUAUGGGUUGUCAAUUUCUCUAUCUUUCCACAUUGGCAUCUUCUGUCUUGAUAUCAUUUAAAUUAAAUUAGAAAUUAGUGUUUUACUGGGAAAAAAUAAUGUUGCUACAGGGCAAAAAA